Molecule: ribosomal RNA, 408 nt
Filed under: Triticum aestivum (bread wheat)
Lineage: Eukaryota; Viridiplantae; Streptophyta; Magnoliopsida; Poales; Poaceae
Description: partial small subunit ribosomal RNA
Source: RNAcentral
AAGAAGAACAAACCUAAGGUGCAGAUUAGGAAGGCGAAAUACUUUCCCAAUGCCCCAAUGGGAGAGUUGAUUUGUAGCUUAAAAAAACACCCUCCGCCUCCUCCGCGUCUCCCCGACCGCACCGGUGCCGGCGUGCGUGCCGCGAAAGCCGCUGCCUCCGGCUCCGCAACCGGCUCCGAGCUGCCUCAUGCAUCUACUAUUGUGGUAGAGGACGAGGAGAAGGAGGAGGACGACGAGGACGAGGACAUGGAUGAGGACAAGGACAAGGAAUAUGAGGAGCAUAAUCUGUUUGUGGUUCCUCCAUUGCAAGCGGGUGUUGAUAUGUCGGAUGAUGAUACAUCAGAUGGGUAUAAGGAAUCAGCUGAUGAACUAGAAGGUGACACUAUGUCCGAGGAAUCACUUGUGCAU